GACGAACGCUGGCGGCGGGCUUAACACAUGCAAGUCGAACGCGUGCAGCAAUGCACGGGUGGCGCACGGGUGAGUAACGAGGGGAGAUAUGCCUGUGGGUUCGGAAUAACCCCGGGAGACUGGGGCUAAUACCGGAUGGUUCCUACGGGAUAAAGAUUUUGCGCCAAAAGAUGGGUUCGCGUCCGAUUGGUUAGUUGGUGGGGUAAUGGCUCUCCAAGGCGACGAUCGGUAGCUGGUCUGAGAGGACGCUCAGCCACACCUGGGCUGAGGCCCGGCCCCGACUCCUACGGGAGGGAGCAGUGGGGAAUAUUGGACGAUGGGGCCAACCCUGAUCCAGCCAUGCCGGGGGAGUGAGGAAGGCGUUCGGGUUGUAAAGCUCUUUUGGCGGGGACGAUGAUGACGGUACCCGCAGAAUAAGCCCCGGCUAACUACGUG
Molecule: ribosomal RNA, 435 nt
Filed under: uncultured bacterium
Lineage: Bacteria
Description: partial 16S ribosomal RNA
Rfam family: Bacterial small subunit ribosomal RNA
Source: RNAcentral